UAAUAAAUGGCAAACACAAGAAAAUAUUGAGUUUUGUGGCAGAUAGAAGCAGCCUCAAAGGCUGCUUUUACUCCGUCACUCGUCAAUACCCUUAUCUCCCCUCCUGCGUCACGACUUGCUCUGCUGAAAUUACCGCACCAUAACCACGUCAUCUGCCCCAAUGAGCACAUCUACGGGCCGGGGAACCAGCGCAGAAAAGGAGUAAGUUUAAUUGGUCGCCAGAUGAAACGGCCUUCUUACAUCAAAUUCAUGAAAAAAUACGUAUAAUCAGAGGGUGUUAUAGGAAGAGUAUCACCCCUGAGGAUAAGAAGAGAGCGUGGACUGAAGUGGCAGAAGCUGUAACAAGUGCCUUCCCUGGGAGUGGACCCCGUACGCAGGAUGACUGUGAGAGGCGUUGGUACAACGUACAACAAAAAUCAAAGCCUCGCAUUGCCAAGUGCAAGAAUGAGCAGCGGCAGACUGCCCCGCUGCUGUAUUGCUAGAGACCAUCCCAGCACAUUGUUCAUUACUCGUGGUAAAGAUACCAUCAGCUGCUCCGGCAACAGCCACUGCUUCAACAUCUGCUAGCCCUAUGACACCAGCCACUACUUCAUCAUCUGCUGGCCCAAUGACACCUGCCACUGCAAGGGAUGACAAUGAAGCUGCUCCACCACAGUCACCACCUACUUCAUCGGAGUUAAGAAAUGCCUUUCAUAGGGCAGCAGUAUAAUUUUUUGAU
Long non-coding RNA from Eriocheir sinensis (Chinese mitten crab), 718 nucleotides. RefSeq lists it as uncharacterized. The transcript has 3 exons. The record is from RefSeq and is a predicted model, not a curated record. Lineage: Eukaryota; Metazoa; Arthropoda; Malacostraca; Decapoda; Varunidae.